UGAGGAAUAUUGCGCAAUGGGCGAAAGCCUGACGCAGCGACGCCGCGUGGAGGAUGAAGGUUUUCGGAUUGUAAACUCCUGUUAAGUGGGAAGAAACGACAAAAUAUAAUACAUUUUGUAACUGACGGUACCAUUAAAGAAAGCACCGGCUAACUUCGUGCCAGCAGCCGCGGUAAUACGAGGGGUGCAAGCGUUAUUCGGAAUUAUUGGGCGUAAAGGGUGCGUAGGCGGCGUAUUAAGUCAACUGUUAAAACCUCCAGCCUAACUGGAGAUCAGCAGUAGAUACUGGUAUGCUAGAGGAUGGAAGAGAGAAGUGGAAUUCUUGGAGUAGCGGUGGAAUGCGUAGAUCUCAAGAGGAACACCAAUGGCGAAGGCAGCUUCUUGGUCCAUAUCUGACGCUGAUGCACGAAAGCGUGGGGAGCAAACAGGAUUAGAUACCCUGGUAGUCCACGCCGUAAACGAUGAUCACUAGAUGUUAAUUCUGCUUGCAGAAUUAGUGUCGUAGCUAACGCGAUAAGUGAUCCGCCUGGGGGACUACGGUCGCAAGAUU
RNAcentral lists this ribosomal RNA (550 nucleotides) under uncultured bacterium. Its description in RNAcentral is "partial 16S ribosomal RNA". It matches the Rfam family "Bacterial small subunit ribosomal RNA", at positions 355 to 895 of the family's 1533-position model. The record is from RNAcentral.